UACGUAGGUGGCAAGCGUUGUCCGGAUUUACUGGGCGUAAAGCGCGCGCAGGCGGAUUGGUCAGUCUGGGGUGAAAUCUCACGGCUCAACUGUGAGCGGUCCCUGGAUACUGCCAGUCUUGAGAGAUCUAGAGGAGAGCGGAAUUCCCGGUGUAGUGGUGGAAUGCGUAGAUAUCGGGAAGAACGCCAGUGGCGAAAGCGGCUCUCUGGGGAUUUUCUGACGCUGAGGCGCGAAAGCGUGGGGAGCGAACCGG
This 253-nucleotide ribosomal RNA is filed under the name uncultured bacterium. RNAcentral's name for it is "partial 16S ribosomal RNA". It matches the Rfam family "Bacterial small subunit ribosomal RNA", at positions 524 to 776 of the family's 1533-position model. The record is from RNAcentral.